This 468-nucleotide ribosomal RNA is filed under the name uncultured bacterium. RNAcentral's name for it is "partial 16S ribosomal RNA". It matches the Rfam family "Bacterial small subunit ribosomal RNA", at positions 28 to 507 of the family's 1533-position model. The record is from RNAcentral.
GACGAACGCUGGCGGCGUGCUUAACACAUGCAAGUCGAACGGCAACGCCCUGCUUUUGUGGUCUUCUCGAGUGCCGAACGGGUGCGUAACACGUGUGUAACCUGCUCUUGUCUUUGGUAUAACUUCACGAAACUGGGGCUAAUACCGGAUAGGAUCUCCUGCUGCGUGGUGGGGGGUGGAACGUUUCGGCGGUUGGGGUUGGACUCGCGGCUUAUCAGCUUGUUGGUGGGCUAGUGGCUUACCAAGGCUUUGACGGGUAGCCGGCCUGUGAGGGUGACCGGGCACAUUGGGACUGAGAUACGGCCCAGACUCAUACGGGAGGCAGCAGUGGGGAAUAUUGCACAAUGGGCGGAAGCCUGAUGCAGAAACGCCGGGGGCGGGAUGACGGCCUUCGGGUUGUAAACCGCUUUCGCCUGUGACGAAGCGUGAGUGACGGUAAUGGGUAAAGAAGCACCGGCUAACUACGUG